UCAUUGAGUAGCCCCAAGUGCAUGAGCCACCCAAUAGCACCCUGACCCUGUGGGCCCCGGUGCAGCUGCAUUAGCAAGAUCGGUGGUAGUUCCGCCACUGGUUUCCUCCCUUUAAUUCUCCUACCUCCCUAUCCCCUCUGUGUUUUUACCCCUCCCUCUCCCUUCCCUUUGCUGGAACAGAUCGUGCCCUUUCAUGACCAAAAAGCUUGUCAAGAUAG
Molecule: non-coding RNA, 218 nt
Organism: Pelobates cultripes (western spadefoot toad)
Lineage: Eukaryota; Metazoa; Chordata; Amphibia; Anura; Pelobatidae
Source: the annotation of a GenBank genome assembly